UUAUUUCAGUUAAAUAGUAUUCUGUAGGUGUGAUACUAUUUUAAUACUAUGUUAGAUAUUGUUAGUAUUCUAUAUUGCCAGUGUGUUGAAAGAUUUGAUGAUACUAGACUCUAUCUUCGUUAGUCAGCGUUUAAACCCAGAGGCACUCUGCUGAUUAGAUCCUCCUCUUUUCCUCCUCCACCAUCACCCCUUUCCUCCUCCCCCUCUCUUCCCAUCUCCUGACCCUCACAAUGAAUAACUAACAUCCCUCCUCCCCCUUUUCUCCUCAUCAUCAUUAAACCUGCUCCUGAAAGAAUCUUCUAUCUCCUCUAUUCUGGCCAGUCUAGCAGCGGUUCAAAGGAUGAGAGCAGUUUCUCUCUGGGCUUUCUCUCUACCAAACAUGGUCUUUAUUAUCUUUAUUAGUUAUUUAAAAAUUGCAUAUUGACUAGAGCUGGAGUGGUAUUGAAAGCCUGACCAUCCAGAAAGUGCCUGGAGCUAUGGGCACAUCAGACGGCACUUUAACUAUUCAACAACUUGCAUGGAGGGUAAAGAAAUUAGGAAGAAAUGAGAAGAUGGUGUUGGUGAAUCUUGUCAUUGUGCUUUCGUGUGUCCAGUCUGUUGUAUCCAGCCUCAUCACCGCGGAUGUGUUUGAAGCCAGAGGCCAGCAUGUGUGUAAAGUUGAUCGUGGAAGCCCCUGCUAUAAGCUGGCAUAUUUCUCUGACCCUGGGCGCCAGCUAAGCUUCCUCGAGGCGGAGCUAGCAUUGUUUGUGUGUGAUGAUUUGUGUUUGUGUGUGAUGAUUUG
Molecule: long non-coding RNA, 781 nt
Organism: Esox lucius (northern pike)
Lineage: Eukaryota; Metazoa; Chordata; Actinopteri; Esociformes; Esocidae
Exons: 3
Source: RefSeq, a predicted model, not a curated record